UUUGGGCUGCUCCUUCCUCUUCCUCCGCCUUUGCCGUUGUCGGCGGCAGAGGAGGAGGAAGGAGCAGCCCAAA
Molecule: non-coding RNA, 73 nt
Organism: Podarcis lilfordi (Lilford's wall lizard)
Lineage: Eukaryota; Metazoa; Chordata; Lepidosauria; Squamata; Lacertidae
Source: the annotation of a GenBank genome assembly